GGGGAUUUAGCUCAGCGGCAUAAGCGCCUGCCUUGCAAGCAGGUUGUCGUGAGUUCGAUCCCCG
This is a transfer RNA of Cavia porcellus (domestic guinea pig), 64 nucleotides long. It matches the Rfam family "tRNA". Rfam says of the family: Transfer RNA (tRNA) molecules are approximately 80 nucleotides in length. Their secondary structure includes four short double-helical elements and three loops (D, anti-codon, and T loops). Lineage: Eukaryota; Metazoa; Chordata; Mammalia; Rodentia; Caviidae. The record is from Rfam.